GGUUAAGCGACUAAGCGUACACGGUGGAUGCCCUGGCAGUCAGAGGCGAUGAAGGACGUGCUAAUCUGCGAUAAGCGCCGGUAAGGUGAUAUGAACCGUUAUAACCGGCGAUUUCCGAAUGGGGAAACCCAGUGUGACUCGUCACACUAUCAUUAACUGAAUCCAUAGGUUAAUGAGGCGAACCGGGGGAACUGAAACAUCUAAGUACCCCGAGGAAAAGAAAUCAACCGAGAUUCCCCCAGUAGCGGCGAGCGAACGGGGAGGAGCCCAGAGCCUGAAUCAGCAUGUGUGUUAGUGGAAGCGUCUGGAAAGGCGCGCGAUACAGGGUGACAGCCCCGUACACAAAAGCGCAUGUGCUGUGAGCUCGAUGAGUAGGGCGGGACACGUGGUAUCCUGUCUGAAUAUGGGGGGACCAUCCUCCAAGGCUAAAUACUCCUGACUGACCGAUAGUGAACCAGUACCGUGAGGGAAAGGCGAAAAGAACCCCGGCGAGGGGAGUGAAAAAGAACCUGAAACCGUGUACGUACAAGCAGUGGGAGCACCCUUUGGGGUGUGACUGCGUACCUUUUGUAUAAUGGGUCAGCGACUUAUAUUCUGUAGCAAGGUUAACCGAAUAGGGGAGCCGGAGGGAAACCGAGUCUUAACCGGGCGUUAAGUUGCAGGGUAUAGACCCGAAACCCGGUGAUCUAGCCAUGGGCAGGUUGAAGGUUGGGUAACACUAACUGGAGGACCGAACCGACUAAUGUUGAAAAAUUAGCGGAUGACCUGUGGCUGGGGGUGAAAGGCCAAUCAAACCGGGAGAUAGCUGGUUCUCCCCGAAAGCUAUUUAGGUAGCGCCUCGUGAACUCAUCUCCGGGGGUAGAGCACUGUUUCGGCUAGGGGGCCAUCCCGGCUUACCAACCCGAUGCAAACUGCGAAUACCGGAGAAUGUUAUCACGGGAGACACACGGCGGGUGCUAACGUCCGUCGUGAAGAGGGAAACAACCCAGACCGCCAGCUAAGGUCCCAAAGUCAUGGUUAAGUGGGAAACGAUGUGGGAAGGCCCAGACAGCCAGGAUGUUGGCUUAGAAGCAGCCAUCAUUUAAAGAAAGCGUAAUAGCUCACUGGUCGAGUCGGCCUGCGCGGAAGAUGUAACGGGGCUAAACCAUGCACCGAAGCUGCGGCAGCGACGCUGAUGCGUUGUUGGGUAGGGGAGCGUUCUGUAAGCCUGUGAAGGUGGCCUGUGAGGGUUGCUGGAGGUAUCAGAAGUGCGAAUGCUGACAUAAGUAACGAUAAAGCGGGUGAAAAGCCCGCUCGCCGGAAGACCAAGGGUUCCUGUCCAACGUUAAUCGGGGCAGGGUGAGUCGACCCCUAAGGCGAGGCCGAAAGGCGUAGUCGAUGGGAAACGGGUUAAUAUUCCCGUACUUGGUGUUACUGCGAAGGGGGGACGGAGAAGGCUAUGUUGGCCGGGCGACGGUUGUCCCGGUUUAAGCGUGUAGGUGUGUGUUCCAGGUAAAUCCGGUUCACUUUAACACUGAGGCGUGAUGACGAGGCACUACGGUGCUGAAGCAACAAAUGCCCUGCUUCCAGGAAAAGCCUCUAAGCAUCAGGUAACAUCAAAUCGUACCCCAAACCGACACAGGUGGUCAGGUAGAGAAUACCAAGGCGCUUGAGAGAACUCGGGUGAAGGAACUAGGCAAAAUGGUGCCGUAACUUCGGGAGAAGGCACGCUGACACGUAGGUGAAGUGAUUUACUCAUGGAGCUGAAGUCAGUCGAAGAUACCAGCUGGCUGCAACUGUUUAUUAAAAACACAGCACUGUGCAAACACGAAAGUGGACGUAUACGGUGUGACGCCUGCCCGGUGCCGGAAGGUUAAUUGAUGGGGUCAGCGCAAGCGAAGCUCCUGAUCGAAGCCCCGGUAAACGGCGGCCGUAACUAUAACGGUCCUAAGGUAGCGAAAUUCCUUGUCGGGUAAGUUCCGACCUGCACGAAUGGCGUAAUGAUGGCCAGGCUGUCUCCACCCGAGACUCAGUGAAAUUGAACUCGCUGUGAAGAUGCAGUGUACCCGCGGCAAGACGGAAAGACCCCGUGAACCUUUACUAUAGCUUGACACUGAACAUUGAGCCUUGAUGUGUAGGAUAGGUGGGAGGCUUUGAAGUGUGG
RNAcentral lists this ribosomal RNA (2143 nucleotides) under Salmonella enterica. RNAcentral describes it as "partial 23S ribosomal RNA". It matches the Rfam family "Bacterial large subunit ribosomal RNA", at positions 1 to 2167 of the family's 2925-position model. The record is from RNAcentral. Lineage: Bacteria; Pseudomonadati; Pseudomonadota; Gammaproteobacteria; Enterobacterales; Enterobacteriaceae.